Molecule: ribosomal RNA, 440 nt
Filed under: uncultured bacterium
Lineage: Bacteria
Description: partial 16S ribosomal RNA
Rfam family: Bacterial small subunit ribosomal RNA
Source: RNAcentral
CCUACGGGAGGCAGCAGUGGGGGAUAUUGCACAAUGGGGGAAACCCUGAUGCAGCGACGCCGCGUGGGUGAAGAAGCGCCUCGGCGCGUAAAGCCCUGUCAGCAGGGAAGAAAAUGACGGUACCUGAAGAAGAAGCCCCGGCUAACUACGUGCCAGCAGCCGCGGUAAUACGGAGGGGGCAAGCGUUAUCCGGAUUUACUGGGUGUAAAGGGGGCGCAGACGGCGAUGCAAGCCAGGAGUGAAAGCCCGGGGCCCAACCCCGGGACUGCUGUUGGAACUGCGUGGCUAGAGUGCAGGAGGGGCAGGCGGAAUUCGUGGUGUAGCGGUGAAAUGCGUAGAUAUCAGGAGGAACACCGGUGGCGAAGGCGGCCUGCUGGACUGCAACUGACGUUGAGGCCCGAAAGCGUGGGGAGCAAACAGGAUUAGAUACCCUUGUAGUC